GGUCUCGAUAGCUCAGUGGUCAAGAGCACUGUCCCGGAAAGACAGGGGCGCGGGUUCAAUUCCCGCUCGAUUCC
Plodia interpunctella (Indianmeal moth) is the source of this 74-nucleotide non-coding RNA. The record is from the annotation of a RefSeq genome assembly. NCBI's taxonomy places the organism in Eukaryota, Metazoa, Arthropoda, Insecta, Lepidoptera, Pyralidae.